GACGAACGCUGGCGGCGUGCUUAACACAUGCAAGUCGAACGGAAAGGCCCCUUUGGGGGUACUCGAGUGGCGAACGGGUGAGUAACACGUGAGUAACCUGCCCUUGACUUCGGGAUAACUUCAGGAAACUGGGGCUAAUACCGGAUAGGAAUCCUUGCUGCAUGGUGGGGGUUGGAAAGCUUCGGCGGUUUUGGAUGGACUCGCGGCUUAUCAGCUUGUUGGUGGGGUAGUGGCUUACCAAGGCUUUGACGGGUAGCCGGCCUGAGAGGGCGACCGGCCACAUUGGGACUGAGAUACGGCCCAGACUCCUACGGGAGGCAGCAGUGGGGAAUAUUGCACAAUGGGCGGAAGCCUGAUGCAGCAACGCCGCGUGCGGGAUGACGGCCUACGGGUUGUAAACCGCUUUCAGCAGGGGCGAAGCUUGUGGUGACGGUACCUGCAGAAGAAGCACCGGCUAACUACGUG
Molecule: ribosomal RNA, 465 nt
Filed under: uncultured bacterium
Lineage: Bacteria
Description: partial 16S ribosomal RNA
Rfam family: Bacterial small subunit ribosomal RNA
Source: RNAcentral